GAGUUUGAUCCUGGCUCAGAACGAACGCUGGCGGCGUGCCUAACACAUGCAAGUCGAACGUGAUCCAGAGCUUGCUCUGGUGAAAGUGGCGCACGGGUAAGUAACGCGUGGAUAACCUACCCUGGUAUCCGGGAUAACAUUCCGAAAGGGGUGCUAAUACCGGAUAAGCCCACGGGCUCUUUGGAGCUUGCGGGAAAAGGUGGCCUCUAUUUAUAAGSUAYUGUAUCAGGAUGGGUCCGCGUACCAUUAGCUAGUUGGCGGUGUAACGGACCACCAAGGYGACGAUGGUUAGCUGGUCUGAGAGGAUGAUCAGCCACACUGGAASUGAGACMCGGUCCAGACUCCUWCGGGAGGCAGCAGUGGGGAAUUUUGCGCAAUGGGGGAAACCCUGACGCAGCAACGCCGCGUAAGUGAUGAAGGCCUUUGGGUCGUAAAGCUCUGUCAGAGGGGAAGAAAUGAUAUAGUGCUAAUACCACUUUAUCUUGACGGUACCCUCAAAGGAAGCACCGGCUAACUCCGUGCCAGCAGCCGCGGUAAUAC
RNAcentral lists this ribosomal RNA (540 nucleotides) under uncultured Geobacteraceae bacterium. RNAcentral describes it as "bacterial SSU rRNA". It matches the Rfam family "Bacterial small subunit ribosomal RNA", at positions 9 to 526 of the family's 1533-position model. Lineage: Bacteria; Pseudomonadati; Thermodesulfobacteriota; Desulfuromonadia; Geobacterales; Geobacteraceae. The record is from RNAcentral.